RNAcentral lists this ribosomal RNA (358 nucleotides) under Heterospilus sp. MAS-2010. Its description in RNAcentral is "partial 28S ribosomal RNA". The record is from RNAcentral. Lineage: Eukaryota; Metazoa; Arthropoda; Insecta; Hymenoptera; Braconidae.
UGAGAAACCCAAAAGAUCGAAUGGGGAGAUUCAUCGUCAGCUCAUUUUGUAUAUGUAUGAGUUAUGAUGCGNNAGUUACUCUUNNGUAGUAUUGCUNUGUACGUACUUAUACAUUUAUUUGCAAGAUGUUGUCGGCGUGCACUUCUCCCCUAGUAGGACGUCGCGACCCGUUGGGUGUCGGUUUACGACCCGAGNUGGUAGACUUUAAUAUUNNUUANNUUGUAUUAAAGACCCUUGGUGUUNUUCUGACCGACUGCCCGGCGGUACUCGUACGGUAUUUUGCCGCAUNUUNANNNUUUGCGUCCAUGUCCGUCGCAAGCGAGGCUAAUUUCUGGUAGUNGCGGACCUAGUGCCGUCG